CUAGAGAGAGAAAUCAGGCAAGAAAGCUUGGAGGGCAUUAAUGGUGGGGAAUAAGAGGUAAGAGAUAGGAGGGAGGUGGAAGAAGCCGCUCCUUAAAUAGUCGCCCUCUCUUCCAACUGUUACAGCCGAUUUCUCACACGGGUGGUACAACCGCUGCGUGCACCGAUACAAUCGCACCAACCCUAACGCCUGGUACAACCAGUGGCCGAGGCGAUAGUACCGGUCAUAUAGGAGGACAGGAACUACCGCCUACCACCGCCCAACAACCGGUCGGAAACCAUAGAGGAAUCACCAUCAUGCGGUGUUGGGUGGUGGUUGACACAGCGCAACUGCCAGGGGGAAACAGGGAUGCGGCUAAGUCCUGGGCGGUAAAACCACCAGAGGCACCAGUAGUAUCGGUUAAAAGAUUUGACACGAACUACCGGCACGCAACCACCCAAGUACAACACCAAACCAGAGACAUCUCCGGUUGUGGAGUGGUACUCGGCCGGUACAACCUCUAGAGGUGCUACGGCGGUACAACCGCUGGGUAACAACCUAAGAGCAGUUGUUCCUGACUUACCCAUCCCAGCGGUACAACCGCCAGAGACAGAGGUACAACCUCCUGAGAGAAAACAACUGCUUAGAGAAGGAAAGAGGGUCUCUUUCAAGGAUCGUAAGAAAUCAUGACGGGAGAUAGAAUGUUGUCUAUGUAUAUCGAUUCACCCACUACCUUCCUAUAUGAAUUCCCUUUUAAUAGUACGGGUUAUCUACGACCAAAGGAAUAAACAUGUAGAGAACACCGUCUUCUUUCUUUUUCGUCCGGAGGGGUAGUCCAAUAAUAUUGUGUCCAAAGUGAUGUCCCUGAAUACCUUG
This 855-nucleotide long non-coding RNA is filed under the name Hordeum vulgare. Its description in RNAcentral is "long non-coding RNA (HVUL_LNC010694)". Lineage: Eukaryota; Viridiplantae; Streptophyta; Magnoliopsida; Poales; Poaceae. The record is from RNAcentral.